This 72-nucleotide small nucleolar RNA is filed under the name Drosophila ananassae. Its description in RNAcentral is "snoRNA:GF26126". The record is from RNAcentral. Lineage: Eukaryota; Metazoa; Arthropoda; Insecta; Diptera; Drosophilidae.
UUUUUGUGAUGAAUGUAAUUACCGUACGAUUUCUUUGAUUAAAAACAUUAUGGCUGCAAAUUUUGCAACUGA